UACGUAGGGUGCAAGCGUUGUCCGGAAUUAUUGGGCGUAAAGGGCUCGUAGGCGGUUUGUCGCGUCGGGAGUGAAAACUCAGGGCUUAACCCUGAGCCUGCUUCCGAUACGGGCAGACUAGAGGUAUGCAGGGGAGAAUGGAAUUCCUGGUGUAGCGGUGAAAUGCGCAGAUAUCAGGAGGAACACCGGUGGCGAAGGCGGGUCUCUGGGCCGUAACUGACGCUGAGGAGCGAAAGCAUGGGGAGCGAACAGG
This 253-nucleotide ribosomal RNA is filed under the name uncultured bacterium. Its description in RNAcentral is "partial 16S ribosomal RNA". It matches the Rfam family "Bacterial small subunit ribosomal RNA", at positions 524 to 776 of the family's 1533-position model. The record is from RNAcentral.